RNA transcript from Enhydra lutris kenyoni (northern sea otter), 3608 nucleotides. It is a transcript of the gene named microtubule associated protein 1S, with no coding region annotated. The transcript is spliced from 8 exons. Lineage: Eukaryota; Metazoa; Chordata; Mammalia; Carnivora; Mustelidae. The record is from RefSeq and is a predicted model, not a curated record.
UCCUGGGGCCGGGAGGCUCGGUCCUCCUCACCGUUAGGCGUAUGGCGCGGGUUGAGGCCUUCGGUGCCCACGGAGAAGGCGGUGCCCGGGCCUGGGUUGGGCUGGGCUGCCCCGCCCCGACCGGGGUGCAGCCCAGGGACUGGACGCCGGGCCGGGGCUUUGGGACUUGCGUGAUUGGGCAACAACGGACGACGGCUCUGCUUCCCGCCAGACUGGCAGGCCGAAGGGAGGGUGGGGUCACCUCGAAGUCCCCGGUCUUAGUAUCCUGGACGUUCUGGAAGGAGGAACAGGGGUGCGGAGGCUGGGCCAGGAGCCCCGGGGCCCACUUUCCGUUGCACCACAAGGAGCUUGCUAAUUGGGGUGUGGGCGGUCGCGGCCUGCCCAGGGGAUUUGGCAUCUGGGGAGGCAUCCGGUCCUGGGACAUUGACCCUGGCAUUUGCAGCCUUGAUGAGCAGCUCAAGGUUUUUGUGUCCCGGCACUCUGCCACCUUCUCCAGCAUUGUGAAAGGCCAGCGGAGCCUGCACCACCGCGGAGACACCCUGGAGACCCUGGUCCUCCUGAACCCAUCAGACAAGUCUCUGUGUGACGAGCUCCGGAAUCUUCUGCUUGACCCUGCCCCUCACAAGCUGCUGGUGCUGGCUGGGCCCUGCUUGGAAGAGACAGGGGAACUGCUGCUCCAAACGGGGGGAUUUUCACUCCGCCACUUCCUCCAGGUCCUAGGGGACAAAGAGAUCCGGGAUCUCCUGGCAUCUACACCCCCACCUGCAGACCUGCCCAAGCUCACCAUCACCUGCCCGACCUUUGGCGACUGGGCCCAGCUGGCGCCUGAAGUGCUUGGCCUCCACAGCGCGCUCCAGCUGCGAUGGAACCCACCUGUGCAGCUGCCGGCAUCUGAGGGCCUGCGCGAGUUCCUGGAGUAUGUGGCUGAGUCCCUGGAGCCGCCGUCUCCCUUUGACCUACUCGAGCCACCCGCAUCUGUGGGCUUCCUCAGGCUCGCCCGGCCCUGCUGCUAUAUCUUCCCCGGCGGCCUCGGUGACGCCGCCUUCUUCGCCGUCAACGGCUUCACCGUGUUGGUCAAUGGGGGCUCCAACCCCAAGUCAAGUUUUUGGAAGCUGGUGAGGCACCUGGACCGGGUGGACGCGGUACUGGUGACCCACGCGGGCGCUGACAGCCUCCCAGGCCUCAACAGUCUGCUGCGGCGCAAGCUGGCAGAGCGCGAGGAGGCGGCGGCCGACGGGGGCUCGGGGGACGACCGGCUUCGCAGGCUCAUCUCCCCCAACCUAGGGGUCGUGUUCCUCAAUGCCCGUGUUGCCGCCUCGCGGCUGGUGAGUGGUGAGGACGAGGCGGAGCUGGCCCUUAGCCUCUUGGCCCGGCUGGGCAUCACACCCCUGACUCUGAACCGCGGGCCGCUCCCGGCCGAGCCCACCGUGCUCUUUCAGAAGAUGGGUGUGGGACGGCUGGACAUGUAUGUGCUGCACCCGCCUGCGGCCGGGGCCGAGCGCACACUGGCCUCCGUGUGCGCCCUGCUGGUGUGGCACCCUGCCGGCCCCACAGAGAAGGUGGUGCGUGUGCUCUUCCCUGGCUGCACCCCGCCCACCCGCCUCCUGGACGGCCUGGUCCGCCUGCAGCACUUGGGGUUCCUGCGGGAGCCCGUGGUGACCCCCCAGGACUUGCUGGGACCUCGACGAGCCGAGAGCAAGGAAAGCGUGGGCUCCCGGGACAGCUCGAGAAGAGAAGGCCGGACAACAGCACCCAGCAGGCCAGCCCAGGAGCGCCCUGGGGUGGCCCGGAAGGACCCGCCUCGGGUUGAGGCCCCCCGCAAGGCAGAGAAAGAAGCCAGGGUCCCCCGAGAGGUGAAGAAGGACCCUAAGCCAAGUGCCCCUCGGACCCAGCCCCGGGAGGUCCGCCGGGUGGCCUCUGCUUCAGUCAGCGUGAAGAAGGCAGGGGCCCCAGCCGCUCCCCGACCCCGCCAAGCACCCAAUAUCCCUCGCCCAGGUGUCCCACCGGUGGUGAAUGGGCCCCGCAGCCCCCCCAGCUUCCGGUGUGGAGAGGCCAGCCCCCCGACAGAGCCCUGCAGUUCCCCAGCGCCCCAGCUGGUGGCUACACCCAGCCAGGAGAGCAGCCUGGAGCUGGAGCUGGGGUUGAGCCCAGCUGGGGAGGACGGCAGCGCCUUGGAGGAGAAGACGCUGGAGCUUCUGCUGGAUGCCAGCACCCCCCGGCCACGUACACCCUCGCCUACUGCAGCCCAGCAGGGCCCAGCCGAGAGCAGCGGGCGGCUGUCGCUGAGCCCGCUGCGUGGUGGGGAGGCGGGGCCGGACGCCUCACCCACCGUGACCACGCCCUCGCUGCCCGCCGAGGUGGGCUCUCCACACUCCACGGAGGUAGACGAGUCCCUGUCCGUGUCCUUCGAGCAGGUGUUGCCUCCACCGCCACCUGCCAGUGCAGGCGAGGCUGGGCUGAGCCUCCCACUCCGAGGCCCCCGGGUCCGGCGAUCAGCCUCCCCGCACGACGUGGACCUGUGCCUGGUGUCACCCUGCGAGUUUGAGCACCGGAAGGCUGUGCCCGUGGCGCCGGCACCUGCCUCCCCCGGAAGCUCUGAUAGCAGUGCUCGGUCCCAGGAGCGGGCUGGAGCACCAGGGGCAGAGGAGACGCCCCCCACAUCCGUCAGCGAGUCCCUGCCCACCCUGUCCGACUCGGACCCCCUGCCUGCCGCCCCUGGGACCGCAGACUCAGACGAGGACAUGGAGGGCUUUGGGGUCCCUCGCCGUGACCCGCUGCCCGAGCCCCUCAAGUUCCCCCCGCCGCUGCCCACCCCACCCAGCAUCUGCAUGGUGGACCCCGAGAUGCUGCCCCCCGAACAGGCCCGGCCGGCAGAGGGCCUCAGCCGUACCCGGAAGUCCCUGGCUCGCACUAACCCCAGCACGGCCGCCUCCAAAGCCACUCCAGCUGCCACUGCCAAGACCAAGGGACCGGCUGGUGGAGACCGAGCCAGUCGGCCGCUCAGCGCCCGGAGCGAGCCCAGUGACAAGGGAGGUCGGGCACCCCUAUCCAGAAAGUCCUCAGUCCCCAAGGCGGCCACUCGGGGCCCAUCUGGGUCAGCUGGCAGCCGACCAGGUGGGUCGGCAGCCCCUCCUGGCUCCCCCGUCUACCUUGACCUGGCCUACCUGCCCAGCGGGAGCAGCGCCCGGCUGCUGGACGAGGAGUUCUUCCGGCGGGUUCGUGCGCUCUGCUACGUCAUCAGUGGCCAGGACCAGCGUAAGGAAGAGGGCAUGCGGGCUGUCCUGGACGCCCUCCUGGCUGGCAAGCAGCAGUGGGACCGUGACCUCCAGGUGACCCUGAUCCCCACCUUCGACUCGGUGGCAAUGCACGAGUGGUAUGAGGAGACGCACGCACGGCACCAGGCUCUGGGCAUCACCGUGCUGGGCAGCAACAGCACCGUGUCCAUGCAGGACGAGGCCUUCCCCGCCUGCAAGGUGGAGUUCUAGCCCCGUGCCCGCCACCCAGCCCCUCAGCCCGGAGUCGACCACUGCCUGAGAGUCCCCCGCAUCAGAAAUAAACCAGGUCACGUGACUGCCUGAUUCAGGAGCUGAGAUGCACUCCUCCCUUGU